Molecule: ribosomal RNA, 403 nt
Filed under: Actinomycetes bacterium
Lineage: Bacteria; Bacillati; Actinomycetota; Actinomycetes
Description: Actinobacteria bacterium partial 16S ribosomal RNA
Rfam family: Bacterial small subunit ribosomal RNA
Source: RNAcentral
UGGGGAAUAUGGACAAUGGGCCCAAGCCUGAUCCAACCAUGCCCGGUGAGUGAUGAAGGCCCUAGGGUUGUAAAGCUCUUUCACCGGUGAAGAUAAUGACGGUAACCGGAGAAGAAGCCCCGGCUAACUUCGUGCCAGCAGCCGCGGUAAUACGAAGGGGGCUAGCGUUGUUCGGAUUUACUGGGCGUAAAGCGCACGUAGGCGGACUUUUAAGUCAGGGGUGAAAUCCCGGGGCUCAACCCCGGAACUGCCUUUGAUACUGGAAGUCUUGAGUAUGGUAGAGGUGAGUGGAAUUCCGAGUGUAGAGGUGAAAUUCGUAGAUAUUCGGAGGAACACCAGUGGCGAAGGCGGCUCACUGGACCAUUACUGACGCUGAGGUGCGAAAGCGUGGGGAGCAAACAGG